Molecule: long non-coding RNA, 1620 nt
Filed under: Betta splendens (Siamese fighting fish)
Lineage: Eukaryota; Metazoa; Chordata; Actinopteri; Anabantiformes; Osphronemidae
Description: lncRNA (ENSBSLG00000026356.1)
Source: RNAcentral
UGUGCUUUUAUUUUGAAGCCCAGCCCGUUUAGUUUCCGGUACACUUUAGGUUGUCGCUGUCUGAUUUGACAGACUAUGUUUGAUCGAGUCGCUAAGCGGGGGUGUACUGGAUGCGCACCGCACAUCUGGACUGCGGAACGACCGCAAAGAAAGUGUUUUGACAGAAAAUUCCCAUUUAACAACAGUACUUUUAUAAUAAUAAUAAUAAUAAUAAAUUGUUAAUUGUUAAGUUCAUUUUAGAAUUUCUUGGCCCGCUGACUGAGGAACACACUGUCACAACAUUGUCUAGCACCUCAUAAAGGAGUCGAACGUGACUAGACAAAUGACAGCGGAAGAGGCAGCUUUUCUGGAAUGUUUCUCGUCACCUGCUGCAUUAAUCCGGUAAAAAGGAAAUCCUCUGGUUUCGGCUUUUUUUGGUCGCCCCCUCCAUGAUUGCAAGAAAAGGGAACUUCAUUGUUUCAAGUGCGAGGCACCUAAGUGAAAGCGUGUGACUUCACUCUCCAUGCAGACCUCGACCCACAGAGGAGCCCGUAACGAUCAUGAACGUCACCACCUUUGCGGUACCAUCUCCCGUCCAGACGAACGGAACCAGCUCUGGUCCCGUCUCCGCGGGUCUGGCCGUGGGGCUCACGCUCGUCUUUCUGCUCCUCGGAGUCGCGCUCGGCGUGAUCGCGUACAGACGCCACGGCAAAAGGAGGACGGUGCAGUUUGGACGAGACCGAAGCCAGAAGAAAGAAGACGCGUCGGAGGCAGCGCGCGACGCUUCCCAUCCCUACACCAGCAUGUACAGGGAGUCGUCGGCAGGACAGAGCCCCAUUUAUGAGAACGUCACUGGAACGUCCGCGUGCAACAGGCCUCCCAUCAACCACAGCAGACCGUCGCACGAGCCCGAGGAGGAUCCGUACCUGCAGUGUGAUUACGUAGACGAGGCCAUAUACAACAACGACCCGGUGUGUAACCUCGCCCUCUUCCCAGACUCCCAGGAGGACGACGUGUACAUCACGCCCCAGUCGUGAUGGGACGCGUGUGGCUGAAGGCCUGAACCUGCUGCUGCUCCCUCUGCAACACAAGCAAAAAACCAACCUUACGGGUGAAACAUGUCGCUGCUCCAGACUUGGAGGCAAAACAAAAGAUUUUACUAUGUUUAUGUUAUAUAUAUAUAUAUAUAUAUAUAUAUAUAUAUAUAUAUAUAUAUAUAUAUAUAUAUAUAUAUAUAUAUAUAUAUAUAUAUAUAUAUAUAUAUAUAUAUAUAUAUAUAUAUAUUAUACGUCUUUGUUUUUGGCACUGUACAAAUCAGACAUGUGCCAACAGCUCUGAGCCGUUGAAUGGUUCACUCACUUUCAUUUUGACAUUUAUUUAGCAGAAGUGUUGUAUCAUUAUAUAUAUUAUUUUACAUAUGUAUAUAGAUGUGGUAUAUAGCAGUAAUCUUUCUAAGGUUUGCCCAAUCGGUGAACUUUAUCACAUUUCCUAUACUUAGCAGGCUCAGGGACUCUAUGGAUGAGGACACUGCUAACAGAAGUUGCAUCAUCUGCUACUGUAUAUACUGUACAACAAACACAUUGUAUUUAAACAUUAAUUUUGCAAUUUUUGGUGAAAAUAAAAUGUAAAAUUGUGAUUUCA